This 254-nucleotide ribosomal RNA is filed under the name Alexandrium minutum. RNAcentral's name for it is "partial Bacterial large subunit ribosomal RNA". It matches the Rfam family "Bacterial large subunit ribosomal RNA", at positions 518 to 776 of the family's 2925-position model. Lineage: Eukaryota; Dinophyceae; Gonyaulacales; Pyrocystaceae. The record is from RNAcentral.
AAAGAGCCCCUGUCGGGGAGUGAAAUAGAACAUGAAACCGUAAGCUCCCAAGCAGUGGGAGGAGCUGGGGCUCUGACCGCGUGCCUGUUGAAGAAUGAGCCGGCGACUCAUAGGCAGUGGCUUGGUUAAGGGAAACCACCGGAGCCGUAGCGAAAGCGAGUCUUCAUAGGGCUAUUGUCACUGCUUAUGGACCCGAACCUGGGUGAUCUAUCCAUGACCAGGAUGAAGCUUAGGUGAAACUAAGUGGAGGUCCG